UACAGAGGUCCCAAGCGUUGGUCGGAUUCACUGGGCGUAAAGGGUGCGUAGGCGGUCGGGUAAGUCUGAUGUGAAAUCUCACAGCUUAACUGUGAAACUGCAUUGGAUACUAUCCGGCUAGAGGAAUGGAGGGGAGACUGGAAUACUUGGUGUAGCAGUGAAAUGCGUAGAUAUCAAGUGGAACACCAGUGGCGAAGGCGAGUCUCUGGACAUUUCCUGACGCUGAGGCACGAAAGCCAGGGGAGCAAACGGG
Molecule: ribosomal RNA, 253 nt
Filed under: uncultured bacterium
Lineage: Bacteria
Description: partial 16S ribosomal RNA
Rfam family: Bacterial small subunit ribosomal RNA
Source: RNAcentral